GACAGAGGGUGCAAACGUUGUUCGGAAUUACUGGGCGUAAAGCGCGUGUAGGCGGCUAAGUAAGUCGGGCGUGAAAUCCCACGGCUCAACCGUGGAAGUGCACUCGAAACUGCAUAGCUAGAGUCCUGGAGAGGAAGGUGGAAUGCUUGGUGUAGAGGUGAAAUUCGUAGAUAUCAAGCGGAACACCGGUGGCGAAGGCGGCCUUCUGGACAGUGACUGACGCUGAGACGGCGAAAGCCGUGGGGAGCAAACA
RNAcentral lists this ribosomal RNA (253 nucleotides) under uncultured bacterium. RNAcentral's name for it is "partial 16S ribosomal RNA". It matches the Rfam family "Bacterial small subunit ribosomal RNA", at positions 524 to 774 of the family's 1533-position model. The record is from RNAcentral.